Passer montanus (Eurasian tree sparrow) is the source of this 8102-nucleotide long non-coding RNA. RefSeq lists it as uncharacterized. The record is from RefSeq and is a predicted model, not a curated record. NCBI's taxonomy places the organism in Eukaryota, Metazoa, Chordata, Aves, Passeriformes, Passeridae. The transcript has 2 exons.
CGGGGUGGAUUUAGGGCAGAGAAGAGAGUGGGUUUGGGGCAGAGAACAGGCUGGUUUUUGGGGCAAGAACCCCGUGGUUUUGGGGGAAAGGACCCGGUGGUUUUGGGGGAAAGAACAACGUGGUUUGAGAGGGAGAAUAGGGUGGUUUGGGGGAAAGAUCCCGGUGGUUUUGGAAGAAAGAUUCCCGUGGUUUGAGAGGGAGAAUAGGGUGGUUUUGGGGGAAAGAUCCCGGUGGUUUUGGGGGAGAGAAGGCCGUGGUUUUGGGGGCACAGCAGGGGGCUUUUGGGCGAAAGAACCCGGUGGUUUUCGGCUGAAAACCCCCAAAUUUUGGCCGCAGCCCAGCUGGGUUUGGUGCGGGUCACACCGGGAGGAGCCUCUGGAAGCCGAGGGGAGCUGGGGAGGGAACGGCCCCAAAUCUCCCGUGGGAAUCCCGGGAAACACCCCAGAGCAGGUGGGGGCCUCUCCUGCAAGAGGGGAAGAAGAGGGACCUGGAAAAGCCGGGGCUGUGGGACUGAGGGAAUUCCAGCUGGGGAGUCACCUCCUGUCACCUGGGGCUGGAAUGCCAGCGCAGGGAAGGAGCUGUCACCUCACCCCGGUGAGGAAUUCCACAUUUUUGUUCUCCUUUCCCACCUGGAUUUUCCCUGUGAGUUUGGACUCUGUGGCUGCCCCAUCUCUGGAAUUGUUCAAGGCCAGCCUGGGAUAGUGGAAAGGACAGGAGGAGCUUCGAGGUCCCUCCCAACCCAAACAAUUCCGUGUUUUUCUGAUUCCAAGCAAAAGAGUUAAAGUUGCCCAAAAUCCUGUUUUAAUGAGCUGCCAUAAUCUCUUGGAGAUCUGGACUUGAGCCUCGUUUCCCAAGAGCUGCUGGAAUUGAACUUGGAGGAGGGAUUGGCCAAAUCCAUCUGUAAACAAAGGGCUUGCUCACCUCAGUGUGACCUCCAAAACUGCACAGCCCCCUUGAACAGUGUUAAAAAUUAGAUCAUUAUGAUUUCUUUUCACCCCAAACCACAAUAACCUCAUCCUUCCCACCUGCCUGGAGCACACCUGGCUUUGGGAUGAAGGUGGGAUCAGGAUGUUCCUCUCCCUGUGCCAAUCCUUUAUCUCCUGGCACCUCCUGCCAGCCCCAAGGGCAGAAAUAGCUCCUUUAUCUCAGCCCAGGCCUGGGAGAGAGCAAAUUCCACCAAAAUGGGAAUCAAUUCAACCCCACAGCUCGGGGUGGUGGAGCUUCUCCUGGUCACAGCACGUCCUGGAAGUGCAGGGUUCUAAUUAAUUAAUUAUUAGCAUUAUAAUGAAGCUCUGGUGUGGAGUUGAGCCUUUCCAAAGCUGGAAGCUGCUCCUGGCUGGGAGCAGGGAUUGCACCAAUCCUGGAGAGCAGGCUGGGGCUGUCCCCACUUAUCUCAGCCACUAAUUACCCUCUGCACUAAUGAGAUUCCUGGAAGUGGGAAAUCUCCUCCUCCAGGGCACGUGUGGCCACGGGAGCUGGCUCUGCCCGGAGCUCCAGGGAAUUCCUGCACUUUUGGGGCAGUUUUGGUACUUUUGAUCAACGUGGUGCCACAGGAGCUGUCUCUGCCCAGAGUUCCAGGGAGAAUUGUGCAUUUUUUGGGCAGUUUUGGUGAAUGAAACUGUCUCUAGCCAGAGUUUCAGGGAAUUCCUGAAGAUUUGGAGCAGUUUGGGUGAAUGGAGCUGUCUCUGCCCAGAGUUCUGGGGAGAAUUGCUGCAGUUUUGGGGCAGUGUUGGUGUUUUUGGUGAAUGGAGCUCUCCCUGCCUGAAGCUCCAAUGAAUUCCUGCAGUUUUGGGGCAGUUUUGGUACUUUUGAUCAACGUGGUGCCACGGGACCUGUCUCUACUCAGAGCUUCCAGGAGAAUUCCUGCAGUUUUGGGGCAGUUCUGGUGAAUGAAACUGUCUCUGCCCAGGGUUCCAGGGAUUUGCUGCAUUUUUGGGGCAGUUUUGGUACUUUUGAUCAACGUGGUGCCACGGGAGCUGUCUCUGCCCAGAGUUCCAGGGAGAAUUGUGCAUUUUUGGGGCAGUUUUAGUGAAUGGAGCUGUCUCUGCCUGAAGCUCCAAGGAAUUCCUGCACUUUUGGGGCAGUUUUGGUAUUUUUGGUGAACGUGGGGCUCUCCCAGCCCUGAUGCCAAGGAAGUCCUGCUGUUCCUCCUGGAAUACCUUCACCAUUGCUCUGUGCCCAUGGAAAGGAGCCCAGGGUGGCUCCAGCUGCUGCCCUCAGCACUUCCAGGGGUUUCUGGAAGCAAAGCAGGGACUGGAGCAGCCUGGGGUAGUGGGAAGUGUCCCUUGCCCAUGGCAGAGGUGAAUUAAAUGAGCUUUAAGGUCCUUCCCACCCGAGGCAGUGUGAGAUUCUGUGAAAUCUCAGGGUGCUUUUGCUGCUGCUGCAGCAAACCCUGCUCAGAGCUCUUGUUUGGCAGGAAAUUGGGUGAAAUCUCUCCACUCUCUUCCUCUUUUUGUUGCUAACCUCGUGUUUGGGGGAACUGGGAGAGCUGAGGCAGGGCAGGGUGGGCACUGCUGAGUUCUGAUCCUCUCCUUGGAGGUCUUUGCUGUGGGAAUCACUUGGAAAACCACCUGGAGAGAGCAGCACUGGGCAGGUGGGAUUUUUGCUGCUUGCUGCCAUUCCAAGGGUGGCUGUGGUGCUGCUGCUCCCUUUGUGUGUGUCUGAGAGAUAACAGAGCUGCUGCACAGCCUGAGCUGAGCACCCAGCAGCACAUUCCCUGCUUGGAAUGUGGCAGCCUGGAGCUGGCAUGGCUGAGGGAGGGAGGGAGGGAGGGAUGAGGUGAAACCUCAGUCGGGAUUUGGAAAAUUCCCACUGAGCGACACAGAGUGGACUCAUUGCUGCCCCUGCAGCUGAUUUUCACCCCCAGCUAAUUGUGUUUGGUUCUCUCCUUCUCCCCAAGUCUCCCCUCUGCUCUGCAGUCCCAUCCAUGCAUCCAGCAGGCUCCGUGGACCCCGGGGUGCUGACGUCGCAGCGGGAGCUGCCCAGAGGUUCAGGUUGCCCUGUGCUCCCCCUGCUUUGUCUGGCUCUUCCCUUCAUCCCUUUGUCUUGUGAGAUCCGUGGCUUCCAGGCCUAAACCCAUCCCUUGUGUCCCGAGGGAUUGGAUGGUGCUGCUGGCAUAAAUCCAGGUUUAAUUCUUCAGCAAAAAAUAAGAAAGGUGUAGCAUUGGGGAAAUCCCUGCCCAGAGGUGGGUAAAUGUGGGAUGGGAAGGGGGAGAAGCUUGGGGUGGAGUAGGUGGUAUGGGGAGGCUGAUUUCUAGUGGAAUUUGGGAAUUAUUUUAUGGGGGAGCUGCUUUAGUCCAGCCUAACUCCUGUUAAUCCAAACCAAAUAUUCCCGAAAAUCUGCGUGACUCAACUCCUCCUCCUCCAGCAGCCUCUUGAGCUGCAGCUGAAUUUCCUUUGCAGGCAGAGCAAUUCCAAGAGGAACUUUUUAAAUAGCUGCUGGAACAGCUGCAUGGGAGGAAGGAGAAUCAGGAUGGCAGUGCCGGUGGAGGGGGAGUGGUGCAGCCUGUGCCUUCAAAAACCCAAAGUGGAGGGGCUGGAGCUGCUCAGCUCAGCUUAGGAAAUCUGGGAUGAGGAGAAAGCUCAGCCUUAGGCCAGGGAGUCUUGCCAGAGGGAUCCAUGUGGCUUGUGUGUUCAUUUGAAUCCUCAGCUGCAGCCACAAUAUCCUGGGAUCUUCCAUUAUUCUGCUUUUCUGCUCUUCCCAAUUCAGAUCUGAGAGCUUUGUGCACAAAGGGAGUGGAAAUGCUCUGAAAUUCACUUUAUCCCCCUGGGAUCUUCACCUCAGCAGGGUAAAACUGGCAGAGGACACAGCUCUGUCCACCCUGAGCCUGCCUGGAGCUGUAACUUCCCACUCAAGCAAGGGGAAAAAAGCAUCAGUGUUCCCAACAGGGAUUUAGUGUGGAAUUAGUUGUAGGAAGAUCCCUUUUAAGCAGAGCUCUGAGUCACACUUGGAUCUGUGGCCCUACAUCUGCCAGAAAUAGGGAUAAUCCUCAGAGCAGCAGCACCUGGGCUCUCUGUGCUGCCCCACCUCUGGAGGUGGGAAAAAAAGAAAGCUCUCCCCAAAAAAUGCCAUGUGAUUCCCAGCUGGAGUAAAGUUUGUUCCUAUAGAAACUGCCAGGAGUUAUGUAAGGAAUGGCAGCUGCAGUGCAAAGGGAGCUCGUGCUCCAAAAUGCAAAGUAGGUCUUGAAACGGAGCAAAAAGUCAGGAAUAGCUCGGGGCUCCUUCAGGUUGGUCCCUGGUUGUGAUUGUUCCCCGUGUCCCAGGAAAUCUGGGACAAAAUUGGAGCUUUUAGGAGGAGCUGUCGUGAACUUGGAGCAGUGAGUGCGAGGCUGGAUUUACCUGGGCCUUAAUAAAUUGGUUUUUCUCUAUUUUUGGCAAUAUGUGGCACUCCUUCCUGCCCCUUUCCCUAGGAGUUUCAAGGGAUGUUUAGCUCAUGAGACUGAAAAUCAGUAUUAUUAUAAUUAAGAUAUUAAUUAAUAGUAUUAUGAUUAUCAUGUUCAACUCUAGAUGCUGAAAAUUCUCAAUCCAUCAAAAACUGACCCAGGACCUUCCUCUGCUCAGAGCUUUUUUAAGGACUUGGUGGCUUCUAAAACAUCCCCAACUCAAAUUAAAUUAAAAGCCAGAGUCUAAAUAGUUUCAACGCCAAGUGGCACAUUAAAAACAUCUUAAAAAGCAGCAAAAUUCUAUUUACAGCAUCAAAAAUCAACUUAGUGAUGGCAGGGCUUCCACCCUGCUGCUCUGUUUACAGGUGCACCUACCACCUAAAUUAUUUGCAUUUCAUGGAAAUUCAGGCCUCCCUGGAAUCUGCAGUUUCUAGGAUUGGCUGAUGUGUGGUUUUGGUCCAAAAAUGAUGCCACAGGAAGUCUGUGGGUUGUGGAAUUGACUGAUUUUUUUGUUUGUUUUUUUAAUAUAUAUUUAUAUUUUUAAGCUGUGUCACCAUCAGUGUUGAUGUCACCCGGUUGUUUUUCAUGGAUUCUGGUGAUAGCACUGCUGGAAAUUGUCCCUGUCACCUUUUCAUUGACUGAAGGAACAACCACCCCUUUCUGCAGCAGCAGGAAAGCCCCACCCUGCUGCUCACAGAAAUUUUCAUUUCCUCCACCUGCACUUCAAAGAACACGAUGGUAGCAGUGAUAAACUGCUCAUUUUUACCCAAAACCACACAAAUCUUGGGCUUCAAGGCCACAGGGCCCUCAAAUGUUAGAUAUUUUUUGCUAAACUGGAAGAUUUUCUGGCAGAAAUCAGAGCAAGCAUCUUUGUUUUUCUUGCAAAAUGUGGUUGAGGCCUGUAAUUACUGUGAGGGGAAGAAAAAAAAGGCAAAAUAAAACUCCCAAACAGCCCUUUCUUCUUUCAAAGGAUGGUAUAAAGCUGAAUUUUUGGGUGAUUAAACUACUUGAUCAGGUGUAGAUUUUUAUCAGACACCUUUUGUGGGUGUUAAAGUGAGGGUCUGGCUUUAGCAUCCCCUGAGAGCUGCACAAAUCCCUCAGUCUGGCCCUAAAUCUGGGAGGGCAGCAGGGAUUAAUCCCAAAUCCGAGGUGGAUCCCUGAUCCCUGCGGCAGGAUCCACGCUCAGCUCAGUUAUUAAUAGUGUUAAUAACUAAAUAACAUCAUUUAGAGGUCUUGGAGCUGACUUAAGUGGGUUUUUAGAGUUGCCUUUGGUUCCCCCAAGCCCUGGAGGUGCAGAACAGCCAUUUCCAGCAAAGAGCAGAGGAAGUUGUUUUGCAAGAGAGGCUUUGUCACAGCUCUGAGCAGCAUGAAUGGCACUAAAUCCUUGAGCAAUUUCUUCCCAGAACAAGGAAACCACAAGGCAGAGGAACCUCUUGGCUCCUGAGUUCUUUCCUCCUUUGACGCUAUUAAUAAAAAAAAAGAGGAUUAUUCAGCUUGGACUCGAGGAAUUUUUCCCCUGGUGAAAAGCUGAGGGUGUGGAUAUCCCCUGGCAGGGAUUCUCCUGCUCCAGGGAGAAUUCCCCACAUCCCUUUUCCACAGACAGCCAUGGAGCAGCUUUGGGACCCAUGCAUGAGGCCACAUUUCCCUGGAAUCUGCUCAUUUCCACUGGGAAUAUUUCAUCAGGCUCUCCAUUGUGAUGCUCCCUCAAUCCUUGCCAUGGUAGCAGCUCUUUUUUUUUUUUUCCCCUGCUCUUCCUUUUCCAAGGAGCUGUGGUUUUGCAGCCAGCUCCUGGUUUAUUUUUAAAUGCUUUCUGCAGAGUUAUUACAGCAAAAAAAGUUGCCUCAGGAGCUUGGGCCAGAAUUUGGUGCCUGAAUAAAGGGUGAGGAGUGAAUCCUGGUUUAUUUUUAAAUGCUUUCUGCAGAGUUAUUACAGCAAAAAAAGUUGCCUCAGGAGCUUGGGCCAGAAUUUGGUGCCUGAGUAAAGGGUGAAGAGUGAAUCCCCUCGGGAUUUCUCAAUUAAAACCAAUUAAAACCACUCCAGGGUGUGAACUUGGAGCAAGUGACUCGUUUGGAGCAGGCUCCUCAGGCUGGGAGUUGAAAAGGGAAUUAGGCUGGGGGUUUUAAAGGGAAUUAGGAUCCUUUUCAGUCAUUCAGAUCAUUCAGCAGCCCUUGGAGCAUUAAUGAGCAGGGCUUAGAUGGCGACUGGAGCUGGCACGAGCAGCUUGGUAUGUGGAGUUUAUUUUGACAGGCUGGGAUGUAAAACAGGCUCUGGAAUUGUCUCCUGGAGCACGAGCUGGGCACUGGAUCCCUGCUGGAUCCUCCUCCCUGGGGAAUGCACUCAGUGUUCAGGGAAAAUGGGAAUGCAGAUUCACUGAGCAAGGGAUGCUUUGGGGUUCCUGGUGCUCCUGCAGCCCCUGCCAGGCUGGGAGUGCAUCCCAAAGGGGUCUGAGCCAACCCAAAUCUUGUGCCAGAGCUCAGUGGGCAGCCAGGCUCUGAAAAAUGUUGGGAUUCGUACUCCAAAUUGAUGUUUCCUUCAAUCCAGGAGGGAUUUGUGCAGGCCUGAGGUGAAGCUCCAUGAACUUGAGCAGAGCAGGGUUGGUGCCAGGUGGCUUUGCUUUCCAUGGAUGUUAAAAUCAUCCUAAAUGCUGAGACAUUUAGCAUCAUAAAAUCAUCAUCAAGCUGAGGCAGAAGUGGUGGCAGCACCAGGCGAGGCUGGCACUGGUGGUCACAGGAGGAAACUCCCAAUUUUCCCUGUGGGAAUGGGGUUUCCAUUUUGGCCUAGUGGCUCUGAGGGCCCUCAGCCUCAGGGGAAUUGAUUUUAGAACAUCAACCAGAGGAUUCAUGCAAGAAACAAUUUUUUUUUCGUGGUUUAAGGAGCUGAAUGUUUCUGUUGGCCUUGUUCUCAACCCUCUGGGAGAUAAAUGCAUAAUUUCCUGAGCCAGGAGGGUGAGGUGCCCCUGUUCUCAAUUAGUGGGUGUCAGGGUGUGCCCACUUUUGUGAGGGGUGAUAAUUCCCCCAGGCAGCUCAGCAGUGCUGAUUAAAGCUGCCCUGUUGCUAUUUAUUGAUAUAAACCCAUUUUUUCUCAGAAAAAUAUUCCCCUAAACUCCAACCCAGGCUUUUUCCCCCUUUUAUCACUGAAGCUGCUGCAGAGUCUGAGCUGGGGUUGGGUUUUGGGGAAGUGAAAAGCAGCAGCACGGGGUGAAAGUCACAUCUGGAAAUGCCACCUGGAGCUUUUUCGAGUCAAGUCACCUUGAAAAGAGCUGUGAAACCCUGGGGAAAUGCCUGCAAAAAGCCCUAAAAAGCAAAAUCAGAGCCACUGGGCACUUGCAGGGAGAUUUUUAGUGGGAGAUGUUCCAGUGUGUUCCCUCCAGAGAGGGAAGUGGGAGGUUGUUUACAUCUGCACCAAACCCUUCCCCCCUCCCACAACCUCAGGGCUUUAUGAGACGUUUUAAAAGAACAUUUUUAGAAGGCAUUUGAAGGUUAAAGUGUUGGUUUAGUUAAGCUGGGUGUCUGGGAAGGGGAUGUUGGAUCCAAGCUGAGCCCACCAGGGUUUGCUGUGGCUGCAGGCUCAGGGAGCAUUUUGGAAAAUCCAGAUUUCCUCCCCGUGUGGCUCUGAGUCCCUCCUGUGACAGAGCAGAGCCCUGAGCUGCUGGGCUCACAAUCUGUGCCCUGGCCCUGCAAAAAACCAACCCCACAUCCCCUAAAUCCUCCAUUCCCUGCA